RNAcentral lists this ribosomal RNA (253 nucleotides) under uncultured bacterium. Its description in RNAcentral is "partial 16S ribosomal RNA". It matches the Rfam family "Bacterial small subunit ribosomal RNA", at positions 524 to 776 of the family's 1533-position model. The record is from RNAcentral.
UACGAAGGGGGCUAGCGUUGCUCGGAAUCACUGGGCUUAAAGCGCACGUAGGCGGCUUUGUAAGUUAGAGGUGAAAGCCCAGGGCUUAACCCUGGAAUUGCCUUUAAGACUGCAUCGCUAGAAUUGUGGAGAGGUAAGUGGAAUUCCGAGUGUAGAGGUGAAAUUCGUAGAUAUUCGGAAGAACACCAGUGGCGAAGGCGACUUACUGGACACAUAUUGACGCUGAGGUGCGAAAGCGUGGGGAGCAAACAGG